RNAcentral lists this ribosomal RNA (465 nucleotides) under uncultured bacterium. Its description in RNAcentral is "bacterial SSU rRNA". It matches the Rfam family "Bacterial small subunit ribosomal RNA", at positions 338 to 795 of the family's 1533-position model. The record is from RNAcentral.
CCUACGGGUGGCAGCAGUGGGGAAUAUUGCACAAUGGGCGCAAGCCUGAUGCAGCCAUGCCGCGUGUAUGAAGAAGGCCUUCGGGUUGUAAAGUACUUUCAGCGGGGAGGAAGGUGUUGUGGUUAAUAACCACAUCAAUUGACGUUACCCGCAGAAGAAGCACCGGCUAACUCCGUGCCAGCAGCCGCGGUAAUACGGAGGGUGCAAGCGUUAAUCGGAAUUACUGGGCGUAAAGCGCACGCAGGCGGUCUGUCAAGUCAGAUGUGAAAGCCCGGGGCUUAACCUCGGAAUUGCAUUCGAAACUGGCAGGCUAGAGUCUUGUAGAGGGGGGUAGAAUUUCAGGUGUAGCGGUGAAAUGCGUAGAGAUCUGAACGAAUACCAGUGGCGAAGGCGGCCCCCUGGACAAAGACUGACGCUCAGAUGCGAAAGCGUGGGGAGCAAACAGGAUUAGAUACCCUCGUAGUC